AUACUUGAGUCGGGGUGUUUGUGUUUGGAGUUAUGACUUAUUUAUGGCUGAUUAAACUAAUCAAAGAAAUUCCGUAGGUUGUAUUAUAUAGUGAAUUUCGAAAGUUGAUUAAUAAAUAAUUAAAGAAAUAAGUUAUGUUUAAAUAUAUAGCGAAUCUUCAAAGCUAUGGAAACUACCAAUAUAUCAUAACCUACCUAAUGUCUAAAUUAGCUACGGAAAUCCACUAUAUAUUAAAAUCCACCUAAUUUCUUUGAUUAUUUAUUAAUCAACCAUAAAUAAAAAUAAAACAGAAGUCCAAACACAAACCAAAACACAACACAUAACAGAGGUAAAUACGACACGUCAAAUCUAGAAUUGCAGCACACCGUCAAGGAAGAUAUCACACCACAACUGCACAGACUCGUAGCAGCAUUGACUUUGCAUUGAUACUUUUGCUUGUUCUUUUGUUUUGGGAAUUUUAAAGUUUGUGUAUGGUUUACUACAUGCUUAUUUAGUAUAUUUGGAAUUUUUUUACUAAUCUCUUGGUGGUACACGGUGAGGCUAAUGCCUCUGCCUCUCAACGAAAGAAUGCCUCAUUACCUUAAUUCGCAUUUUUAUACAAUGCCUCAUUCCGCAUUUUUAUACAAUGUAAUUCAUUAUAGUUUUAUCAAUCAAACCAAGAUUGACUUUGUGCUUUCUAAUUACAUCUCAACCGAUUUGCAAACACAAACUCCGACAAGGCUUGGAUCACAAGCUCCAUUUUUCGUAACCCACAAUAAUUUCAUCAGACUCUUUCACACCGCAGCCAAAAAUACAUUAUGUUUUAAGUUUUAAUUCCAUUGAAUAACUAAAUGAAUAGUUCUUAAAAAAUGCAAAUCGAUCAUAAAAUCACUCAUAAGCACUAUCAAUUUAAAUCAUUAUGCGUGUGAAACUUGACAGAGCAUAAACUUCCAAACAGCUCUAGAAAAGUCAUUUCAGGGUAAGCAUGAAUGUUAUGUGAUUCACAAUUGCACUCGCCAGACCCCAAUCGAACUAAAUCCAAAAUACAUCUAAACGAAUUGCAGAGUGGAUGACACUAUAUGGACUAGAAUUCACGGAAGCAGAAUAAAAAAUUCAACUUUAAGUACCACGUUAAGAUCCCAUUUGUCAGGGUCGUUAAGCUGGGAGUGCCAGAAGGCUUUGAUUUUCUCCACUGAUAUCACUGUUUCCGCCAUUUCCAACUUCUUCUUCUUCGUGGG
This 1217-nucleotide long non-coding RNA is filed under the name Olea europaea (common olive). RNAcentral describes it as "long non-coding RNA (OEUR_LNC012993)". The record is from RNAcentral. Lineage: Eukaryota; Viridiplantae; Streptophyta; Magnoliopsida; Lamiales; Oleaceae.